Molecule: ribosomal RNA, 423 nt
Filed under: Laparocerus vespertinus
Lineage: Eukaryota; Metazoa; Arthropoda; Insecta; Coleoptera; Curculionidae
Description: partial 16S ribosomal RNA
Source: RNAcentral
GGUAAUUUGACCGUGCAAAGGUAGCAUAAUCAUUAGUUUUUUAAUUGAAAGCUGGAAUGAAAGGUUGGAUGAGAAAAAAGCUGUCUCUAUUUAAUUUAUUUAGAAUUUUAUUUUUAAGUUAAAAAGCUUAAAUUUGGAUAGAAGACGAGAAGACCCUAUAGAGUUUUAUUAUUUUUAUUUUAUAAAAAUAAUAGUAUUUUUUAUUUUUGUAGAAAAAAUUAAUUUGGUUGGGGUGAUUGAAAAAUUUAAUUAACUUUUUUUUUACGGUUACAUUUAUAUAUGAAUAUAUGAUCCUUAAUUUGAGAUUAUAAGAUAAAAUUACCUUAGGGAUAACAGCGUAAUUUUUUUUGAGAGUUCUAAUCGAAAAAAAAGAUUGCGACCUCGAUGUUGGAUUAAAAUAAAAUUUUGGUGUAGAAGCUAAAA